Molecule: long non-coding RNA, 581 nt
Organism: Neopelma chrysocephalum (saffron-crested tyrant-manakin)
Lineage: Eukaryota; Metazoa; Chordata; Aves; Passeriformes; Pipridae
Exons: 4
Source: RefSeq, a predicted model, not a curated record
UCCAGCCAGACCUUGGCCUAUUCCAUCGGGUUCCCGGCGCUCCUGGUCGCCGGAAUCGUGGCCUCCUGCUGCUGCUGCUGGAGAAGGAAAACGUGCCCACGGCAGGGCUACGACGUGACACCCAGGGACAUUCCCAUGGCGGCUCCCGCCCCCGGGAAUGAGGAGGUGGCACCCCCCGGGAUCGUUCCCACGGGAUGAGCGCCCGCAGCCGGGAAAACUCGGUGCGUCCGCCAGCCCCAAGGAUGCUCCAGGAUCCCACGGGAAGCCGUGAGUGGUGGCACAUCCUGGUCUCCAUGUGGAGCAGCCUCAUCCCAAGGGACGUGUGGCUGCUCUUCCCAGCCCGAAGCAGUGAUUCCCAUGGAUGGCACGGCUCCAGGUCCCAAGGCCAAAUGUUCCGGCCCCAUUCCGCCCUCGGACGCAGCUCAGGGAUCCUUUGGAAGCACUUCCAGCCUCGAUCCAGGCUCCGGAUUCCUGAUCCCCCCUGGCUCUGGCUGCUCCCAGGGAUCCCAACCUGGAGCAAUUUCACUACAAUUUACACUUCUCAAAAGACCAAAUUUAGGAAAUAUUCCAGGAAAAAAUAU